AUUGAACGCUGGCGGCAUGCUUUACACAUGCAAGUCGAACGGUAACAGGGUGCUUGCACCGCUGACGAGUGGCGAACGGGUGAGUAAUGCGUCGGAACGUGCCGAGUAGUGGGGGAUAACGCAGCGAAAGUUGUGCUAAUACCGCAUACGUACUGAGGUAGAAAGUGGGGGACCUUCGGGCCUCACGCUAUUCGAGCGGCCGACGUCUGAUUAGCUAGUAGGUGAGGUAAAGGCUCACCUAGGCGACGAU
RNAcentral lists this ribosomal RNA (250 nucleotides) under uncultured bacterium. RNAcentral's name for it is "partial 16S ribosomal RNA". It matches the Rfam family "Bacterial small subunit ribosomal RNA", at positions 30 to 280 of the family's 1533-position model. The record is from RNAcentral.